AUUUAUUCAUCCUUUUAGGGUAUUAAUAUUUACAAAAGAAUAAUAUGGCUAUUUUAACUACUAUGACUACUCUUCUAUGCUAUGUGUAAGCUGGAAAAUUUUGAAAGUAAAGAGCCCAUCUACAUGGUGAGCAAGAACCAUCUCUGGAGAAGUCCUGCAUACUUAUGUCCCCCCCUAUAUUUGAGAGACGAGAUGCGAUUUCGCAUGGUCUUGUCUAUUGUAGCACGCAUGGUCUCAACUGUCAUCCAGCUUGUGUGAU
RNAcentral lists this long non-coding RNA (259 nucleotides) under Brassica rapa (field mustard). RNAcentral's name for it is "long non-coding RNA (BRAP_LNC001586)". The record is from RNAcentral. Lineage: Eukaryota; Viridiplantae; Streptophyta; Magnoliopsida; Brassicales; Brassicaceae.